GCACCGAUGGCCUAGUGGCUAGCGCUCUUGCUUUCGAAAUUUGCAGCGCGGGUUCGAACCCCGAAGGUGGCA
Non-coding RNA from Caenorhabditis brenneri, 72 nucleotides. Lineage: Eukaryota; Metazoa; Nematoda; Chromadorea; Rhabditida; Rhabditidae. The record is from the annotation of a GenBank genome assembly.